UACGUAGGUGGCGAGCGUUGUCCGGAAUUAUUGGGCGUAAAGGGAGCGCAGGCGGGAAGGUAAGUCUAUCUUAAAAGUGCGGGGCUCAACCCCGUGAGGGGAUGGAAACUAUCUUUCUUGAGUGCAGGAGAGGAAAGCGGAAUUCCUAGUGUAGCGGUGAAAUGCGUAGAUAUUAGGAGGAACACCAGUGGCGAAGGCGGCUUUCUGGACUGUAACUGACGCUGAGGCUCGAAAGCGUGGGGAGCGAACAGG
RNAcentral lists this ribosomal RNA (252 nucleotides) under Mitsuokella jalaludinii. RNAcentral describes it as "partial 16S ribosomal RNA". It matches the Rfam family "Bacterial small subunit ribosomal RNA", at positions 524 to 776 of the family's 1533-position model. Lineage: Bacteria; Bacillati; Bacillota; Negativicutes; Selenomonadales; Selenomonadaceae. The record is from RNAcentral.